Long non-coding RNA from Erigeron canadensis, 873 nucleotides. RefSeq lists it as uncharacterized. The transcript is spliced from 2 exons. NCBI's taxonomy places the organism in Eukaryota, Viridiplantae, Streptophyta, Magnoliopsida, Asterales, Asteraceae. The record is from RefSeq and is a predicted model, not a curated record.
GAUAAAAAUACGUGGCAAUUUUUGAUUGGUCAAAAAAAAGUCCAAACAAAGCCAAAGAGCUAAAAACAUACCCCAAACUCACACCGUGAUUAACAAAUCCUCAAACACAUAACCCUGUACACAAAACAGACACAGAUGUGCCGCCACUGCAACUUCCACAGUUGCGUCCCACCACAAAUCACCACCACCACCACCUCCUCGAUCGGAAAAAUGAGAAAAGCCGCCGCCACCAUCACCAUCGUUGGAAAGCCAUCGCCGACGUUGUCCAUAGAUGUUGUGUGAUUUGGGUUCUAAAGAUUCCGGUGCAUCCACCUCCGAUUUCUCUUCUGAUUGCAAAUAAGUGAAAUAACCCGGCAAAAGAACUGCAUUGUUUCUCGAUUAUGAUGGAACUAUGGAACGCUAUAACCGAUUGUGGGUAAUCCAAAUCAACUUUCCCCUCACAUGGAUGGGGAAAAUGGUCCCGUUACAGAGUUUUUGCUAAACAUCAAUUAGAGUUUAAACAUGCUUAUAUCCGGUACGGUCGACUUGUUUGCAGAGGAGGCUAAACAUGCUUAUGGAGAUAUAUCGCUGUUCAUUUGUCCUGAAACAGGUUACUUCUUAAAGCUAAUCGUUAGAGUUAAAAAACGGAAGGAAAAAAAAAACAGGUUUUCUAGUUUUAUGCCUCAUGAUCCCUCUAAAUUGCAGCCUGUUAGUGUGGUUGGUGCUAUCACACCCUGGGGAGUUAUUACAUGAAUAUCAUUAUUGAAUUUGUGGGUAUUUUCAAGAGUGUAAUAUUUGUUUUGGCAAAAUGGAUGAGAGUUUUGGAGUUAAGAAUUCGUUCAAUUGUAAUGUAAAUAAUAGACAUUGUCUUCAUUGUGGGAAUUUGUUUGUCUU